RNAcentral lists this ribosomal RNA (754 nucleotides) under uncultured marine group III euryarchaeote. RNAcentral describes it as "bacterial SSU rRNA". It matches the Rfam family "Archaeal small subunit ribosomal RNA", at positions 102 to 859 of the family's 1478-position model. Lineage: Archaea; Methanobacteriati; Thermoplasmatota; Thermoplasmata; Candidatus Thermoprofundales. The record is from RNAcentral.
GGAUAAUCUGCCCUCAGGUGAGGAGUAAACCCGGGAAACUGGGGCUAAUACCUCAUAGAUACAGACAGCUGGAAUGCUUCUGUAUUCAAAGCUCCGGCGCCUGAGGAUGAGUCUGCGGCCUAUCAGGUUGUAGUCAGGGUCAUGACCUGACUAGCCAACGACGGGUACGGGGUGUGAGAGCACUUGCCCGGAGAUGGUUUCUGAGACACGAAACCAGGCCCUACGGGGCGCAGCAGGCGCGAAAACUUCGCAAUGCGGGAAACCGUGACGAGGGAACUCCAAGUGUCUAUGCAUUGCAUAGACUGUUUUUUAGCCUAAAUAGCUAAAAGAGUAAGAGGUGGGCAAGACCGGUGCCAGCCGCCGCGGUAACACCGGCACCUCGAGUGGUAGCCACUAUUAUUGGGCCUAAAGCGUUCGUAGCCGGUUUGGUAAAUUCUUGGGUAAAUCGUACAGCUUAACUGUGCGGAUUCCGGGGACACUACCAGACUUGAGACCGGGAGAGAUCAGAAGUACUUGUAGGGGAGCGGUGAAAUGUUGUAAUCCUACAGGGACUACCAGUGGCGAAGGCGUCUGAUCAUAACGGCUUUGACGGUGAGGAACGAAACCCUGGGGCGCANACGGGAUUAGAUACCCCGGUAGUCCAGGGCGUAAACGCUGCUGACUUGGUGUUGGAGAUCCUACGAGGGUGUCCAGUGCUGGCGCGAAGGCAUUUAGUCAGCCGCCUGGGGAGUACGGUCGCAAGACUGAAACUUAA